UGCACCCUAAAAACCACUUGUGGAGAAAUCAACAUGACAAGAUUUGAUUGAGAUACUCAGUGCUGGCAGCUGAAGCAGACAGCCCAUGAUGACAGUCCGUGGGUCUUGUGCCAGCUGGCACAGGCUUUGGAAAAGGUGACCAUACCACCAAGAGAGCAGGAACAAACUAAGGAGUUUUGCUAGAGCGUCUGAACAACAUCCUGCCUUGUCACAUAUUCUGAAGGAAAUUAGUUGGAGAAGACCUCUAUUACCAGUUUUCCUGCAACUGACCUCAGUCCUGUGGCAGAAGCUGUUAGAGUGAAGAUACCUGGCUUCUUAUUUGUCCUUGAUCACCAGCACAGGUUGCAUUCCAG
Vidua chalybeata is the source of this 353-nucleotide long non-coding RNA. RefSeq lists it as uncharacterized. The record is from RefSeq and is a predicted model, not a curated record. NCBI's taxonomy places the organism in Eukaryota, Metazoa, Chordata, Aves, Passeriformes, Viduidae. The transcript has 3 exons.